RNAcentral lists this long non-coding RNA (595 nucleotides) under Vulpes vulpes (red fox). Its description in RNAcentral is "lncRNA (ENSVVUG00000000245.1)". Lineage: Eukaryota; Metazoa; Chordata; Mammalia; Carnivora; Canidae. The record is from RNAcentral.
UUAAAGUGCCAAAGAUUUCCUGGCAGUAGAAGUCAAAUACUUCCAGUAAAGGUCUUAUAUAACUUGAUUUUUAGGGUAAUUACACAUCACUGAAGACAGCUCAUAAUUUUAGAGCUGAAAGUGGCUCCAGAGAUUACCUGAUGCAGCUGCCUGGUUUCCCAGCCUUCUGCUGGCUGGAUUUAUCCUCAGCAUACCUAUAAUGGUCCCUGACACUUCAUGGCUCACUUCUUUCUGCCAGUAGUUCCAAGGGAAGAGGCAUCCAUGUAAAUCCUGGGAUUCAUUGGAAUCAAACCAGUUUGGGAGAUUUGUGUGUUCCUGCACCAAUCAUUCUUGGACCAGCACAAUUGGAAUUAUGGUGUAUGGAAAAGGGACAGAGAAGAAGUGGAGGAAAGGGCACUUAAUCACCUGUUACUUAUGAAAAGAAGAUUGUUGGAAGCUGCUGCAUGCUUCUUCCAUCUCAUUGGUUCAUGGCCACACUUAACCAACUACAAGGUACAGAAGCAUUGAGAGAGUGGGUAGGCUAAAUUUGAGCGUCUAUUAUCCAAUGAAUAUUUCUUUCCUAUUCUAUGAAAGGAAUAGAACAUGAGUAUUGUGA